This 641-nucleotide ribosomal RNA is filed under the name uncultured Actinomycetes bacterium. RNAcentral's name for it is "SSU rRNA". It matches the Rfam family "Bacterial small subunit ribosomal RNA", at positions 282 to 915 of the family's 1533-position model. Lineage: Bacteria; Bacillati; Actinomycetota; Actinomycetes. The record is from RNAcentral.
CGUAGCUGGUCUGAGAGGACGAUCAGCCACACUGGGACUGAGACACGGCCCAGACUCCUACGGGAGGCAGCAGUGGGGAAUCUUGUCCAAUGGGCGAAAGCCUGAGACAGCGACGCCGCGUGCGGGAAGAAGGCCUUCGGGUUGUAAACCGCUUUCAGGAGGGACGAAGCCACUCGGGUUAAUAGCCCAGAGGGUGACGGUACCUCCAGAAGAAGCCCCGGCUAACUACGUGCCAGCAGCCGCGGUAAUACGUAGGGGGCAAGCGUUGUCCGGAUUUAUUGGGCGUAAAGAGCGUGUAGGCGGCUAGAUAGGUCCGUUGUGAAAACUCGAGGCUCAACCUCGAGACGUCGAUGGAAACCAUCUGGCUAGAGUCCGGAAGAGGAGAGUGGAAUUCCUGGUGUAGCGGUGAAAUGCGCAGAUAUCAGGAAGAACACCCGUGGCGAAGGCGGCUCUCUGGGACGUGACUGACGCUGAGACGCGAAAGCGUGGGGAGCGAACAGGAUUAGAUACCCUGGUAGUCCACGCUGUAAACGAUGGGUGCUAGGUGUGGGGGGUGUCGACUCCCCCCGUGCCGAAGCUAACGCAUUAAGCACCCCGCCUGGGGAGUACGGCCGCAAGGCUAAAACUCAAAGGAAUUGACG